Molecule: ribosomal RNA, 484 nt
Filed under: uncultured bacterium
Lineage: Bacteria
Description: partial 16S ribosomal RNA
Rfam family: Bacterial small subunit ribosomal RNA
Source: RNAcentral
AUUGAACGCUGGCGGCAGGCCUAACACAUGCAAGUCGAGCGGAUGAAGGGAGCUUGCUCCUGGAUUCAGCGGCGGACGGGUGAGUAAUGCCUAGGAAUCUGCCUGGUUGUUUGGGAUAACGUCCGGAAACGGGCGCUAAUACCGCAUACGUCCUGAGGUCGAAAGUGUGGGAUCUUCGGACCUCACGCUAUCAGAUGAGCCUAGGUCGGAUUAGCUAGUUGGUGGGGUAAAGGCCUACCAAGGCGACGAUCCGUAACUGGUCUGAGAGGAUGAUCAGUCACACUGGAACUGAGACACGGUCCAGACUCCUACGGGAGGCAGCAGUGGGGAAUAUUGGACAAUGGGCGAAAGCCUGAUCCAGCCAUGCCGCGUGUGUGAAGAAGGUCUUCGGAUUGUAAAGCACUUUAAGUUGGAAGGAAGGGCAGUAAGUUAAUACCUUGCUGUUUUGACGUUACCAAAAGAAUAAGCACCGGCUAACUUCGUG